UCACACCCGUUCCCAUACCGAACACGGAAGUUAAGCUUCUCAGCGCCGAUGGUAGUUGGGGGCUGUCCCCCUGUGAGAGUAGGACGCUGCCGGGC
RNAcentral lists this ribosomal RNA (95 nucleotides) under Cytobacillus oceanisediminis. Lineage: Bacteria; Bacillati; Bacillota; Bacilli; Caryophanales; Bacillaceae. The record is from RNAcentral.